CUCCGGUGGUAUGAGAUGGACCCGCGUCUGAUUAGGUAGUUGGUGGGGUAACGGCCUACCAAGCCAACGAUCAGUAGCCGACCUGAGAGGGUGACCGGCCACAUUGGGACUGAGACACGGCCCAAACUCCUACGGGAGGCAGCAGUGGGGAAUAUUGCACAAUGGGGGAAACCCUGAUGCAGCAACGCCGCGUGAGUGAAGAAGUAUUUCGGUAUGUAAAGCUCUAUCAGCAGGGAAGAUAAUGACGGUACCUGACUAAGAAGCUCCGGCUAAAUACGUGCCAGCAGCCGCGGUAAUACGUAUGGAGCAAGCGUUAUCCGGAUUUACUGGGUGUAAAGGGUGCGUAGGUGGCAGUGCAAGUCAGAUGUGAAAGGCCGGGGCUCAACCCCGGAGCUGCAUUUGAAACUGCUCGGCUAGAGUACAGGAGAGGCAGGCGGAAUUCCUAGUGUAGCGGUGAAAUGCGUAGAUAUUAGGA
This 475-nucleotide ribosomal RNA is filed under the name uncultured Lachnospiraceae bacterium. RNAcentral describes it as "bacterial SSU rRNA". It matches the Rfam family "Bacterial small subunit ribosomal RNA", at positions 210 to 702 of the family's 1533-position model. Lineage: Bacteria; Bacillati; Bacillota; Clostridia; Lachnospirales; Lachnospiraceae. The record is from RNAcentral.